CUGGAUAGGACCUUAAAAGGCUGUUGGAGAAGAAAAGGUGGGUUAAUUUGGCUCUUUUAGGGCUUAAGGGAGGAGUGAGUAGCAGGAGGUCGGCUAGGGGCGUUCGGAGUUGGGUUUGAAGGAGUGGGCCUUGGGGUUAAUUUGGAGGCCUAGGUAACAAAAGUUGGGCCAAGAAAGGACCUUUGGUUUAAUUGGGGAGGGAUUAUGCUUUUGAGUAGGAGGCUGUUGGGCCUAGCCCAAGUCAAUGGGCUGGGCAAUUUUCACUUGCUGGGUUAAGGAACCAGGAGGGCCGUCAGAUUGUGGGGCUUCUUUUAAUUGAGACUCUUUGCAAAGAGGGUCGAUAUGGUGCAGGGGCGAGAUUACGACUGGAGCUGAGGCGAUGCAACCUUCGUAAAUGAAGUUCAGUAGCCUGAUCACGGACGGGGCCCUUUCGGUAGAUGUGGAAAGAUUUCCAAGUGUCGUUUCUUCCCCUAUCUUUUCUAUGGAAAUAAGGGUUGCCUCUUCUUCUUCUCCUCCUUCUGAGAGUGGGUUAGCUCUUGAGGAGAGGAGAGUGUUUUCUUAAUUGUCGUCGAAGAGGAAGGGGUGGGUCCGU
This 592-nucleotide long non-coding RNA is filed under the name Vitis vinifera (wine grape). RNAcentral describes it as "long non-coding RNA (VVIN_LNC007229)". The record is from RNAcentral. Lineage: Eukaryota; Viridiplantae; Streptophyta; Magnoliopsida; Vitales; Vitaceae.